This 443-nucleotide ribosomal RNA is filed under the name uncultured bacterium. Its description in RNAcentral is "partial 16S ribosomal RNA". It matches the Rfam family "Bacterial small subunit ribosomal RNA", at positions 338 to 795 of the family's 1533-position model. The record is from RNAcentral.
CCUACGGGAGGCAGCAGUGGGGAAUAUUGGGCAAUGGAGGAAACUCUGACCCAGCAACGCCGCGUGAAUGAUGAAGGUCUUCGGAUUGGAAAGUUCUUUUCUAAGGGAAGUAGAAAGUGACGGUACUUCAUGAAUACGCCUCGUCUAACUACGUGCCAGCAGCCGCGGUAAUACGUAGGACGCAAGCGUUAUCAGGAAUGACUGGGCUUAAAGGGUGCGUAGGUGGGUUGACAAGUUAGUAGCGUAAUUCCGGGGCUCAACCUCGGCACUACUACCAAAACUGUCGGACUUGAGUGCAGGGGAGGCAAAUGGAAUUCGUAGUGUAGCGGUGGAAUGCGUAGAUAUUAGGAGGAACACCAGUGGCGAAGGCAAUUUGCUAGACUGUGACUGACACUGAGGCACGAAAGCGUGGGGAGCAAACAGGAUUAGAUACCCUGGUAGUC